Molecule: ribosomal RNA, 253 nt
Filed under: uncultured bacterium
Lineage: Bacteria
Description: partial 16S ribosomal RNA
Rfam family: Bacterial small subunit ribosomal RNA
Source: RNAcentral
UACGAAGGGGGCUAGCGUUGCUCGGAAUCACUGGGCGUAAAGGGCGCGUAGGCGGAUCUUUAAGUCAGAGGUGAAAGCCCAAGGCUCAACCUUGGAAUUGCCUUUGAUACUGGAGAUCUUGAGACCGGAAGAGGUUAGUGGAACUGCGAGUGUAGAGGUGAAAUUCGUAGAUAUUCACAAGAACACCAGUGGCGAAGGCGGCUAACUGGUCCGGUUCUGACGCUGAGGCGCGAAAGCGUGGGGAGCAAACAGG